Molecule: unclassified non-coding RNA, 965 nt
Filed under: Leishmania donovani
Lineage: Eukaryota; Euglenozoa; Kinetoplastea; Trypanosomatida; Trypanosomatidae
Description: gene:unknown
Source: RNAcentral
AACCCUAUCAUUGCGAUUGAUUCCAAAUAUAUCGAGAAGGACUACGAAAAGGGAACCCUAUUCUAAUCUCGUGCACCCAUCUGUGCCGACACAGAUGCGAUUCGCCGGCGCGCCGCCGCUGUCGCGAACAUCGCGGCUGAGGCGAAGGCGGCACCGACUAAUCUUGCUAGGACUGUCUGCCGUCAGAUGACGUCGAGACAAGCAUCACCCCCUCCCCCCCCUCUCCAUCGGCUCGCGCAUUAUAGACGCCGCUGCCGCCGACGCCGUUGGCGAAAGCGUUGUCCAUGGCCACACCAUCCGCAAUUGGCGCGUCCGCAGAGCCGUGGCAGCAUGCGGUAAUCACGGAGCGACUCCUUUUCCGCGCAUCAGUCAGCCUCUCAUCCGGCAACUCCUGUUUCUGUUGAUGUGGUCUUUCACUGCGAGACUCGGGAGCAUGGGAGGGCGAGGGGCUCAGGGUGAGGAACGUGGCGCUUCUGAGCGCGGCUGCAUUCACACUUAUCCGGUGGGUCUCGACCUACAGGAGAAUCAGGGUCACAUAUAUUCAAGGCCCUCUUAGUCGCAUCCGAUGAAGAGCAGCUGCCGAUGGCGCGCGGCCCCGCAGUUGUUCAUGGCGAUAAAUGCGAGUAACACGCCCAACUGCAGGCAUGCGUGAAGCUCGGUGAAACCGGCCACGAUGUUGAAGCUCGCACACUACAAGCAGCAGCACACAGGCAGACCCUUUGUGCGCUUGAUUGCGCUGAUGAUGCGCAUGAUGCGCGUGACGGAAACGUUGAUGCGAAGAGGAGUGCUCCCUGCUUUGAGAUUGCUAGCAACGCGGUCUUUUUUUUUCGGUGGUAGUGGUGGGAUGGAGGAGGAGAAAAUUCUGUUGGGAAAGACAUGCCAUCAACCUCGACAAUACGAAUGCAGCCAGCCUUCAUCUUUCCAUUCUGUGCCCACUUCUGUUUCUUAGCGGACUGCUUCUGCAG